Molecule: transfer RNA, 64 nt
Filed under: Psyttalia humilis
Lineage: Eukaryota; Metazoa; Arthropoda; Insecta; Hymenoptera; Braconidae
Description: tRNA-Gly
Source: RNAcentral
AUUUAUAUAGUAUAAAAUGAGUAUAUUUAAUUUCCAAUUAAAUGGUUUAGUAUUAAUGUAAAUA